Molecule: non-coding RNA, 100 nt
Organism: Nitrosomonas eutropha C91
Lineage: Bacteria; Pseudomonadati; Pseudomonadota; Betaproteobacteria; Nitrosomonadales; Nitrosomonadaceae
Source: Rfam
UGCUUUUUUCGCCCAGGCGGCGCUCGACCACGAACUGAAGAAAGAAACGCCUACAUUGAUCAGCAUCGGGACCUGUGUGGGAUCGAGCUGAGUGAUGCCA